UCGAGCGGCAGCGCGAAAGUAGCUUGCUACUUUGCCGGCGAGCGGCGGACGGGUGAGUAAUGUCUGGGAAACUGCCUGAUGGAGGGGGAUAACUANUNNAAACGGUAGCUNAAACCGCAUAACGUCGCAAGACCAAAGAGGGGGACCUUCGGGCCUCUUGCCAUCAGAUGUGCCCAGAUGGGAUUAGCUAGUAGGUGGGGUAACGGCUCACCUAGGCGACGAUCCCUAGCUGGUCUGAGAGGAUGACCAGCCACACUGGAACUGAGACACGGUCCAGANUNAUACGGGAGGCAGCAGUGGGGAAUAUUGCACAAUGGGCGCAAGCCUGAUGCAGCCAUGCCGCGUGUAUGAAGAAGGCC
This 359-nucleotide ribosomal RNA is filed under the name Enterobacter sp. 196. RNAcentral's name for it is "bacterial SSU rRNA". It matches the Rfam family "Bacterial small subunit ribosomal RNA", at positions 62 to 416 of the family's 1533-position model. Lineage: Bacteria; Pseudomonadati; Pseudomonadota; Gammaproteobacteria; Enterobacterales; Enterobacteriaceae. The record is from RNAcentral.